Molecule: long non-coding RNA, 313 nt
Organism: Engraulis encrasicolus (European anchovy)
Lineage: Eukaryota; Metazoa; Chordata; Actinopteri; Clupeiformes; Engraulidae
Exons: 3
Source: RefSeq, a predicted model, not a curated record
UAGGCUAUGGGACUAUGAGAGGACUCCGAGACGGUGUCCAAGUGAGAUGGCUGGCGAGGUUGUUCGAGGUCAUUUCAUGAUGAGGAUGGACCAGACUUUAAGACAUUCUGAGCUCCAUGAAUGUCAUGAGACACUCCAGGAGACGGUGGUUGCAAUGCAUUAUCAACACCCCGCAACCCCAACCCUCCAAUGGAACCCAGAACCCUCCGGAGUUCCUCAGGACCUGUCGAAGCCUGAAAUAGAUUCUUUGAGAAUCUUAAAAGUCAAACAACUGGGCCUUGCGGGGAAGACUGAUGACGUGAGAAAAAAAGGA